RNAcentral lists this ribosomal RNA (655 nucleotides) under uncultured rumen protozoa. Its description in RNAcentral is "bacterial SSU rRNA". The stretch from base 1 to 535 matches the Rfam family "Eukaryotic small subunit ribosomal RNA", at positions 444 to 1116 of the family's 1831-position model. The record is from RNAcentral.
CCCAAUCCUGAUAGGGAGGUGGUGACAAGAUAUAACAACGCGGUUAUUAUCGCGAUUGUAGUGAGGGUUUUCUAACAGAACCUAUAGUACGAUUAGAGGGCAAGUCUGGUGCCAGCAGCCGCGGUAAUUCCAGCUCUAAUAGCGUAUAUUAAAGUUGCUGCAGUUAAAAGCUCGUAGUUGGAUUUCAAGGAUUGUGUACUCUUCUUGUGCUCGUACUCCUCUUAGUCUUUGACUGUUACUGUGAGAAAAUUAGAGUGUUUAAGCAGGCAUUGCAGAAUACAUUAGCAUGGAAUAACGAAUGUAUCUAGAUCUUGGUUAUUCUAGGCGAAGGAGAAAAAGAAAGCAGAGAAUGCAGAGGUGAAUUCUUGAUUGUCAACCACCUACCCCACGCCAAUGCAUUUGCAGGAUGUUUCAUUAUCAGGACGAAGAUAGGGAUCAAGACAUCAGAUACUGUCGUAGUCUAUCUACAACUAUGCGACUAGGGAUUGAGUGAUAUUCACAUUCAGUACCUAUGAGAAGUCAAGUCUUGGGUCUGGGGGAGUCUGUCCCAUGACUGACCUUAGGACUGACGAUGACCACAGAGUGAGCUGCGCUAUGACUCACGGACUACAGUCACAUGAAGAUGCAUGAGCUUCUGAUCUGGUGGGGGCAUGCG